Molecule: ribosomal RNA, 774 nt
Filed under: uncultured Neocallimastigales
Lineage: Eukaryota; Fungi; Neocallimastigomycota; Neocallimastigomycetes; Neocallimastigales
Description: partial large subunit ribosomal RNA
Rfam family: Eukaryotic large subunit ribosomal RNA
Source: RNAcentral
UAUCUCUGUAGAGUCUGCAUAUCAAUAAGCGGAGGAAAAGAAACUAACAAGGAUUCCCCUAGUAACAGCGAGUGAAGCGGGAAGAGCUCAAAUUUGAAAUCUUAAAGGGUUUCCCUUUACGAAUUGUAGUUUAAAGAAGUGUUUUCUGUUGAGGUUUUGGUAAAAGUUCUUUGGAAUAGGACAUCAUAGAGGGUGAGAAUCCCGUAUUUGACCUUUACUUUCAACUUUGUGAUACACUUUCAAAGAGUCGGAUUGUUUGGGAAUGCAGUCCAAAAUGGGUGGUAAAUUUCAUCUAAAGCUAAAUAUUGGCGAGAGACCGAUAGCGAACAAGUACCGUGAGGGAAAGAUGAAAAGAACUUUGAAAAGAGAGUUAAACAGUACGUGAAAUUGUCAAAAGGGAAGCGUUUGACACCAGUGUUGUUUUUCUGAAAAUCAAUUAAAGAACUGUUUAUGCUAAGUUGUUUAGACUUUAUCAGCUAACUGUUUAGUUUUGAGCUUUUCUUUAAUGCACUUUUCAGUUAACAAGUCAACAUCAAUUUCUUUUGCUGUAAAAAAGCUUGAGGAAGGUGGCUUGAGAUUCGUCUUAAGUGUUUAUAGCCUCUUGCCUAUGCAGUCGGAGAGAUUGAGGUCUGCAGCGUAGAUCCUUCGGGGCUAAAUGCAUUUGUGCUAAGUUAUAGCAUUUUAUAGACAACUUGUUGACUAUGAUUUGUCUUGUAGCUUACUCGCUUAUGUUAUUUUACCUACGCUUAGGAUGUUGACGAUCAGCUGAGCGCG